Molecule: non-coding RNA, 793 nt
Organism: Girardinichthys multiradiatus
Lineage: Eukaryota; Metazoa; Chordata; Actinopteri; Cyprinodontiformes; Goodeidae
Source: the annotation of a RefSeq genome assembly
CAUGCUCCAGUGCUCUGGGAGAGUUUAUAGUCCUGAGAGUUGAACACUGGAUGACUGACAGCUGUCCUUCAUCACAACAGAAGACACAGAAAUCCUCCUCAUCAAAAACAUGACUUUGAUCUGCGUCCUCAUCUGGACUCUCCUCUGCUGCUGCUUCACAGAGUCCAGAGGUCAGGUCACAGUGACUCAGCCUGCAGCAGUGAGAACUGAUCUGGGAGGAUCUGUCACCAUCAGAUGUAGAACCAGUCAGAAUGUUUAUGUUGACAGCAGCAGCUAUUUAUCCUGGUACCAACAGAAAGAUGGACAAACUCCUAAGCUGCUCAUUUAUUAUGCUAGCUCUCGAGAAUCAGGGAUUCCAAGUCGUUUUACAGGCAGUGGAUCAAACUCUGACUUCACUCUGACCAUCAGUGGAGUUCAGGCUGAAGAUGCUGCAGUUUAUUACUGUCAGAGUUUUCAUGUCAUCAGCAGCCAGUAUGUGUUCACACAGUGAAAAACUGUCGUACAAAAACCUCCCUCAGUCAGACUGAACUGAAACUGAACUGCAGCUGCAGAAACUGAUUCUGUUCAGUGAACAAACUAAAACACACAAACUGGUUUUAAUCCAGUAAAAUUAAUGGUAUUUUAACUUCAGCACUUUUACUACAGAAGGACAAGAAACUCUUUAAACUUUCAAACUGACAUUAUUCUGACUACAUUUUUAAAAUACUUUCCAAUAAUCAAGGCUUAAGCAGUUUAAGGCAUGUUUACAAUGACUGAAAAUAACUUUUGACCUUCAUGACCUCUGCCUCACAGU